This 464-nucleotide ribosomal RNA is filed under the name Vreelandella stevensii. RNAcentral's name for it is "partial 16S ribosomal RNA". It matches the Rfam family "Bacterial small subunit ribosomal RNA", at positions 338 to 795 of the family's 1533-position model. The record is from RNAcentral. Lineage: Bacteria; Pseudomonadati; Pseudomonadota; Gammaproteobacteria; Oceanospirillales; Halomonadaceae.
CCUACGGGGGGCUGCAGUGGGGAAUAUUGGACAAUGGGCGAAAGCCUGAUCCAGCCAUGCCGCGUGUGUGAAGAAGGCCUUCGGGUUGUAAAGCACUUUCAGUGGGGAAGAAAGCCUUGGGGCUAAUACCCUCGAGGAAGGACAUCACCCACAGAAGAAGCACCGGCUAACUCCGUGCCAGCAGCCGCGGUAAUACGGAGGGUGCGAGCGUUAAUCGGAAUUACUGGGCGUAAAGCGCGCGUAGGCGGUCUGAUAAGCCGGUUGUGAAAGCCCCGGGCUCAACCUGGAACGGCAUCCGGAACUGUCAGGCUAGAGUGCAGGAGAGGAAGGUAGAAUUCCCGGUGUAGCGGUGAAAUGCGUAGAGAUCGGGAGGAAUACCAGUGGCGAAGGCGGCCUUCUGGACUGACACUGACGCUGAGGUGCGAAAGCGUGGGUAGCAAACAGGAUUAGAUACCCGUGUAGUC